GGAUUGGCGCAUCGGUCGUGCCUCACGGGGUAUGAACUGGUGCAGUCAAUUUCUCACCUUCUGAAGAACCGCGAUGUCAUUAAUUUGGUGUCGUGGGGAAUCAGGACUGUUACUUUGAAAAAAUUAGAGUGUUUAAAGCAGGCGCACGCUUGAAUACAUUAGCAUGGAAUAAUGAAAUAGGACGUUUGAUUCUAUUUUGUUGGUUUCCAGGAUCGACGUA
RNAcentral lists this ribosomal RNA (220 nucleotides) under Campeiostachys nutans. Its description in RNAcentral is "Elymus nutans partial small subunit ribosomal RNA". The stretch from base 31 to 220 matches the Rfam family "Eukaryotic small subunit ribosomal RNA", at positions 673 to 864 of the family's 1831-position model. Lineage: Eukaryota; Viridiplantae; Streptophyta; Magnoliopsida; Poales; Poaceae. The record is from RNAcentral.